GGUCUGGGGACAUGAAGACCAAGAGACAGGGCCAGCGCAAGGAGAAGGUACACCAAUAAAAAGUGAUGCGUCUAUUCUUGUUCCCAUUUAUCCAACAAGCUAAAUGACUCCAGCAAGCAUUAGCAUCUGCCAUAGCACUUGCUUAGAUCAGGCAGGAGUCAAUAGUUUGCCAAAAGUUCAAUGAUACAUUCUGAAUGUGGUGUAUCAUUUACAGUCACUUUCUCUCUCAUGCCCCUUUCUCCAACACCCAUAAUUUUUUUCCCUUCCUUUUCUCUGGGAUUUCUUGCUAUUUGACAGCAAAGCAAAUGAGCUAUGCCCAGUGAAGAAUGAACACACGACUCUGGUUACCUGGCUUUGCUCGCUGCCUCUGUUUAAUCGCGUGUGACUUCCUGAGUAAUUGGAGAAGACGCUGGGUGUGAAGUGAGGAAUGUGCAGCUACUGCAGCUCUCUUGAUGACCUCCAUCGGCUUUGGAGAAGUUUGGAUUCAGAGAUACCACGAGACAGAGUUUCACCAUGCUACCCAGGCUGAUCUCAAAUGCCUGAGCUCAAGUGAUGUGCCUGCCUCAGCCACCCAAAAUACUAGGAUUACAGGAAUAAGCCACUGCACUUGACCUUGUUUUAGCCCUUUGAAUAUAUCAUCCUAUUUUCUCUUGGUCUGUAAGUUUUCUGCUGAGAAAUCUUCUGGUGGUCUAAUAUGAAUUUCUUCAUAUGUAGCUUGACACUCUUUUCUUGCUGUUUUUACAAUUUUGUUUUUGCUUUUGACUUUUGACAGUUUGACUGUAACAUGCCUUGGAGAGGACCUGCUUGGGUUAAAUCUAUUUGGGAAUCUUUGCCUUUUCUAGAUCUGGAGGUACCAACAUUUAAGAGUUUUCCAGCUGUUAUUUCAUUAAGUAGGUUUUCUAUGACUUUUCCCAACUUUUCUGCUUCUUGAAUCCCCAUAAUGCAAAUGUUCAUUUGCUAAAUAGUGUCCCAUAAGUCCUGUAGGCUUUCUUCAUUUAAAAAAAUUAUUCUUCUUCUUUUGUGUGUGUGUACCUGUGUUACUUCAAAAAGCUUAUCUUCCAGUUCAAAAAUUCUUUCUUCUGCUUGGUCUAAUCUGUUUUUGAAGCUGUUGUUUGUUUGUUUGUUUUGAGACAGGGUCUCACUUUGUUACCCAGGCUGCUAACGGUGGUGUGAUCUUGGCUCACUGCAGCCUCGACCUCUUAGGCUCAAGUGAUCCUGCCACCUCAGCCUCCCAAGUAGCUGGGACUACAGGCAUGCACCUGGCUAAGUUUUUUGUAUUUUUUAUAGAGACUGGGUUUCACUAUCUUGCCCAAACUGGUCUCAAACUCCUGACCUCAGGUGAUCUGCUCACCUUGGCCUCCCAAAGUGCUGGGAUUAUAGGUGUGAGCCAUCACACCUAGCCUCUUGAUUGUAUUUUUUAUUUAAUUCAUUCAAUUGUUCAGCUCUAAUAUUUUUAUUUGGUUCAUUUUUAUGAUAUCUAUCUCUUUGUUGAUUUUUUCAUUCAGAUUAUUAAUUGUUUUUCUGAUAUUAUUGAAUUCUGUAACUGUAUUCUCUUUUAUCUCACUGAGUUUCCUUAAAGCCACUAUUUUGAUUUUUGGUAUUUUAUAUAUGCUCUUUUGGGUCUAUUAUGGGAAAAUUAUUGUAUUCCUUCAGGGGUGCCAUGUUUACUUCCUUUUUCAUGUUUAUUUUGUCUCAAUAUUGAUAUCUGCACAUGUGGUGAAAGUUGCCUUUUCCAGUUUUAUAAGGUAGGUUUCUUAGGGAAAGACAUUUCCACAUUUGGGUCCUAAGAUGUUGGUUGUAUCAGGUUUGUGGCUUUGCUUUUAGAUCAAUGCAAUAAUGUGUUCUUCUUGCAGUUUCUUUACUUGUAAUUCCUGUUAGAAAUGUUUAUGAAUGC
This 1894-nucleotide long non-coding RNA is filed under the name Homo sapiens (human). RNAcentral's name for it is "HSALNT0096590". The record is from RNAcentral. Lineage: Eukaryota; Metazoa; Chordata; Mammalia; Primates; Hominidae.